Long non-coding RNA from Haliaeetus leucocephalus (bald eagle), 101 nucleotides. RefSeq lists it as uncharacterized. The record is from RefSeq and is a predicted model, not a curated record. The transcript is spliced from 3 exons. Lineage: Eukaryota; Metazoa; Chordata; Aves; Accipitriformes; Accipitridae.
CUACUCUAGUUAAAGUCAAAAUAAGUCUGAAAGGCAACUGCUUUCACCUUUCUCAUCAGGCUGUAUCCAUACGCACACACUGUCUAUGCUGAUGCUGUUUC